AAUAACAGCAACCUGUUAAACACAGGUCUUGUCAAUUUUUAACUCGGCAUACAAAGUGCAAAGUCUGAAUAUUGGGUUGGAUGAAAUUGCUUAACUAAAAUUAUAAAUGCAGACCUGCAAACCUUUGUAAAAAAAAUGCAAACAGCAAGAGGUUAUUCAAGAUUAAUUAAAUCAGAGGCAGACUCGUGUUCAUUUGUGACAAAU
Non-coding RNA from Pelobates cultripes (western spadefoot toad), 204 nucleotides. NCBI's taxonomy places the organism in Eukaryota, Metazoa, Chordata, Amphibia, Anura, Pelobatidae. The record is from the annotation of a GenBank genome assembly.